RNAcentral lists this non-coding RNA (31 nucleotides) under Rattus norvegicus (Norway rat). The record is from RNAcentral. Lineage: Eukaryota; Metazoa; Chordata; Mammalia; Rodentia; Muridae.
UGCAAGUGUCUGUUUCCUAAGCUAUGGAAGA